Small nucleolar RNA from Bombina bombina (fire-bellied toad), 82 nucleotides. RefSeq annotates it as small nucleolar RNA SNORD20. NCBI's taxonomy places the organism in Eukaryota, Metazoa, Chordata, Amphibia, Anura, Bombinatoridae. The record is from RefSeq and is a predicted model, not a curated record. The transcript has a single exon.
UGGAUAUGACUGAAUUAUCUUAGGGAAAAAAUGAUGUAACAAUUGCAAAAUUACUUCAGAUAGUCAUAAAGUUCUGAUUCAG